GAUGAACGCUAGCUACAGGCUUAACACAUGCAAGUCGCGGGGCAGCAUUCACUUAGCUUGCUAGGUGAGAUGGCGACCGGCGCACGGGUGAGUAACGCGUAUCCAACCUGCCCUUGUCCACGGGAUAACCCGGUGAAAACCGGCCUAAUACCGUAUGAGGUCACAAGCGGACAUCCAACUGUGACGAAAGGUUUAGCGGACAAGGAUGGGGAUGCGUCCGAUUAGCUUGACGGCGGGGUAACGGCCCACCGUGGCUACGAUCGGUAGGGGUUCUGAGAGGAAGGUCCCCCACAUUGGAACUGAGACACGGUCCAAACUCCUACGGGAGGCAGCAGUGAGGAAUAUUGGUCAAUGGACGGGAGUCUGAACCAGCCAAGUAGCGUGCAGGAUGACGGCCCUAUGGGUUGUAAACUGCUUUUGUGCGGGGAUAAAGUGUGGGACGUGUCCCAUAUUGCAGGUACCGCAUGAAUAAGGACCGGCUAAUUCCGUAG
Molecule: ribosomal RNA, 491 nt
Filed under: uncultured bacterium
Lineage: Bacteria
Description: bacterial SSU rRNA
Rfam family: Bacterial small subunit ribosomal RNA
Source: RNAcentral